AGAAGAGUGGCGAACGGGUGAGUAACACGUGGGUAACCUGCCCAUCAGAAGGGGAUAACACUUGGAAACAGGUGCUAAUACCGUAUAACAAUCGAAACCGCNNGNUUUUGAUUUGAAAGGCGCUUUCGGGUGUCGCUGAUGGAUGGACCCGCGGUGCAUUAGCUAGUUGGUGAGGUAACGGCUCACCAAGGCCACGAUGCAUAGCCGACCUGAGAGGGUGAUCGGCCACAUUGGGACUGAGACACGGCCCAAACUCCUACGGGAGGCAGCAGUAGGGAAUCUUCGGCAAUGGACGAAAGUCUGACCGAGCAACGCCGCGUGAGUGAAGAAGGUUUUCGGAUCGUAAAACUCUGUUGUUAGAGAAGAACAAGGAUGAGAGUAACUGUUCAUCCCUUGACGGUAUCUAACCAGAAAGCCACGGCUAACUACGUGCCAGCAGCCGCGGUAAUACGUAGGUGGCAAGCGUUGUCCGGAUUUAUUGGGCGUAAAGCGAGCGCAGGCGGUUUCUUAAGUCUGAUGUGAAAGCCCCCGGCUCAACCGGGGAGGGUCAUUGGAAACUGGGAGACUUGAGUGCAGAAGAGGAGAGUGGAAUUCCAUGUGUAGCGGUGAAAUGCGUAGAUAUAUGGAGGAACACCAGUGGCGAAGGCGGCUCUCUGGUCUGUAACUGACGCUGAGGCUCGAAAGCGUGGGGAGCAANCAGGAUUAGAUACCCUGGUAGUCCACGCCGUAANCGAUGAGUGCUAAGUGUUGGAGGGUUUCCGCCCUUCAGUGCUGCAGCUAACGCAUUAAGCACUCCGCCUGGGGAGUACGACCGCAAGGUUGAAACUCAAAGGAAUUGACGGGGGCCCGCACAAGCGGUGGAGCAUGUGGUUUAAUUCGAAGCAACGCGAAGAACCUUACCAGGUCUUGACAUCCUUUGACCACUCUAGAGAUAGAGCUUCCCCUUCGGGGGCAAAGUGACAGGUGGUGCAUGGUUGUCGUCAGCUCNNGUCCUGANANNUUGGGUUAAGUCCCNCAACGAGCGCAACCCUUAUUGUUANUUGCCAUCAUUCAUUUGGCACUNUAACAAGACUGCCGGUGACAAACCGGAAGGAAGGUGGGGAAUGACGUCAAAUCAUCAUGCCCCUUAGAACCUGGGCCAACACCCUCCACCAUGGGNAAGUACAACGAAUUGCNAAUUCCCGAAGGCUAAGCUAAUUCCUUAA
This 1205-nucleotide ribosomal RNA is filed under the name Enterococcus sp. RNAcentral's name for it is "bacterial SSU rRNA". It matches the Rfam family "Bacterial small subunit ribosomal RNA", at positions 89 to 1279 of the family's 1533-position model. Lineage: Bacteria; Bacillati; Bacillota; Bacilli; Lactobacillales; Enterococcaceae. The record is from RNAcentral.